UGGGGAAUAUUGGACAAUGGGCGGAAGCCUGAUCCAGCCAUGCCGCGUGUGUGAAGAAGGCCUUCGGGUUGUAAACUGCUUUUGUACGGAACGAAACGGUCCGGGUUAAUACCCUGGGCUAAUGACGGUACCGUAAGAAUAAGCACCGGCUAACUACGUGCCAGCAGCCGCGGUAAUACGUAGGGUGCAAGCGUUAAUCGGAAUUACUGGGCGUAAAGCGUGCGCAGGCGGUUUUGUAAGACAGGCGUGAAAUCCCCGGGCUCAACCUGGGAAUUGCGCUUGUGACUGCAAGGCUGGAGUGCGGCAGAGGGGGAUGGAAUUCCGCGUGUAGCAGUGAAAUGCGUAGAUAUGCGGAGGAACACCGAUGGCGAAGGCAAUCCCCUGGGCCUGCACUGACGCU
RNAcentral lists this ribosomal RNA (400 nucleotides) under uncultured bacterium. RNAcentral describes it as "bacterial SSU rRNA". It matches the Rfam family "Bacterial small subunit ribosomal RNA", at positions 355 to 747 of the family's 1533-position model. The record is from RNAcentral.